Molecule: ribosomal RNA, 503 nt
Filed under: uncultured bacterium
Lineage: Bacteria
Description: partial 16S ribosomal RNA
Rfam family: Bacterial small subunit ribosomal RNA
Source: RNAcentral
AUUGAACGCUGGCGGCAGGCUUAACACAUGCAAGUCGAGCGGGGUGAUGGUGCUUGCACUAUCACUUAGCGGCGGACGGGUGAGUAAUGCUUAGGAAUCUGCCUAUUAGUGGGGGACAACAUCUCGAAAGGGAUGCUAAUACCGCAUACGUCCUACGGGAGAAAGCAGGGGAUCACUUGUGACCUUGCGCUAAUAGAUGAGCCUAAGUCGGAUUAGCUAGUUGGUGGGGUAAAGGCCUAACAAGGCGACGAUCUGUAGCGGGUCUGAGAGGAUGAUCCGCCACACUGGGACUGAGACACGGCCCAGACUCCUACGGGAGGCAGCAGUGGGGAAUAUUGGACAAUGGGGGGAACCCUGAUCAAGCCAUGCCGCGUGUGUGAAGAAGGCCUUAUGGUUGUAAAGCACUUUAAGCGAGGAGGAGGCUCUUUUGGUUAAUACCCAAGAUGAGUGGACGUUACUCGCAGAACAAGCACCGGCUAACUCUGUGCCAGCCGCCGCCGUAA